Molecule: long non-coding RNA, 864 nt
Organism: Gossypium arboreum
Lineage: Eukaryota; Viridiplantae; Streptophyta; Magnoliopsida; Malvales; Malvaceae
Exons: 4
Source: RefSeq, a predicted model, not a curated record
UUUUUCGUAAAAGUUUUCAGGGUUUUCUGAUGUUUGGAUGGCUAAAAACAAUUUCCUACCGUAAAAUCAAGUGUUUUUUUAGGAAAAUGUUUUACCCUUUUUGAAUUCGGUAAGACAUUUUCAGGAAAAUGAAGCUUCCUCUCCCCCUCCCCCUCCCCCUUCCUCUUGGGUUGCAAAUCAGUGCCAUUGACAAUAGUUUGGUCAAGGAGCUUUUCCGGUUCCUCCUUCAUCCAGGAUUUGGCAUUUGAUCUGUCCAUUUCUGCUUUUUUGGGAGAUAACAUCUACAACUUUGGAGAACUCCUUGCUCAUCCAAUUUUUUCUUUGGCUUGUUACUGCAAAUCAAAUGGAUUCUUUCUAUAGGCAGGCAGUCGUAGAAAUUCAAGUGUUGUGCAUUGGCUUCUUUGGCGUUUACAAGUCUGGUCAUUGCAGCUGUUGGAUAAUUGGAUGGGCAAAGUACAUAACGCUUGGUUAUUAACUGAGGCUAAAACACCUGAUCUCGUUGCAUCAUGAAUUUUUUUCUCCAGUUCCUUUCUUCCAUUGUAACAAUUUCGUUAUUUGAAAAGGGCAAGAAGGGGGGAAAGUGAAAUGAUUAGCAAUGAGGAUAGAGAUAAGUGUUAGUCAUUUACGGGAAUAGCCAUAUUUGUAUGAUUCCUUUAGUAGGUAUUGCUUGAUCCUUAAAUCUUUGUUCUGAAAGGAGCGGCUCAUGUACUAAACUUUUCACUUUUUGGCAUUUGUUGGAUCUACAAUGGCACUGGAAUGCCUAAGGAUACGGUUAAAACUGCAAACAUCAUCCUUAUCUUUCAUUUUGUAUUGGGAUAUUUCAUUAGAUACAAUCAAAUAUGAUCCACUUUUAUGUGGAUGAAA